AUUUAGAAGUUUGCUGAGCUGCAGCUAUUUGCAGUUGUUAGACUGAACCAUCCUUUCACCUCUGCAAUCUCAUGCAGUCCCUCAGCAUUGUGGGGAUGCAGGCAAACCGCGAUAAAUAACUGAGCCUAUAUUUACAAAUACCAGCCAGUUCGAACAAUCUGACCUUUCUUGGGGAUUCUGACCAAUCUGCAGUGGAAGACAGCUGAUACCUUCCAGGAUUUUCCAUGGUUAAGGAAAUCGGGAGGGACUGCACCUGUGUUGGACCAUGAGGGAGCCCAAAGUGUCACUUGUUCCACCCAACACUGAGCAAUCCACUUUGUCUGCUGUGCACAAACACCAGUACCUGCCUGAAACCCCUUCAGCCCUCAGACUUCCACUCACAGCUGUCUCCAGAGUGUCACAAGGAAAGAUGAUGGAUGGGCAGAGUUUUAUUUCCAUUAGAAUGGAGCCAACUGAAUAUUUCCAACAGCUUUAUUAAAAAUACUAGUUCUUGCUUUGCUUAA
This is a long non-coding RNA of Corvus hawaiiensis (hawaiian crow), 503 nucleotides long. RefSeq lists it as uncharacterized. Lineage: Eukaryota; Metazoa; Chordata; Aves; Passeriformes; Corvidae. The record is from RefSeq and is a predicted model, not a curated record. The transcript has 2 exons.